CAAGAGUCCAUGUCGACGGCAGUGUUUGGCACCUCGAUGUCGGCUCAUCGCAUCCUGGGGCUGUAGCAGGUCCCAAGGGUUUGGCUGUUCGCCAAUUAAAGCGGUACGCGAGCUGGGUUUAGAACGUCGUGAGACAGUUCGGUCCCUAUCUGCCGUGGGCGUUUGAUAUUUGAGAGGAGUUGACCUUAGUACGAGAGGACCGGGUUGAACGUAUCUCUGGUGUUCCGGUUGUCACGUCAGUGGCAUCGCCGGGUAGCUAAAUACGGACGGGAUAACCGCUGAAAGCAUCUAAGCGGGAAGCCCACCUCAAGAUGAGAUAUCACGGAUCUUAAGAUCCCUAAAGAGCCCUUGUAGACAACAAGGUUGAUAGGCGCGAUGUGGAAGUGCAGUAAUGCAUGGAGCUAACGCGUACUAAUUGCUCGUGAGGCUUGA
RNAcentral lists this ribosomal RNA (432 nucleotides) under Aplanochytrium stocchinoi. Its description in RNAcentral is "partial Bacterial large subunit ribosomal RNA". It matches the Rfam family "Bacterial large subunit ribosomal RNA", at positions 2493 to 2925 of the family's 2925-position model. The record is from RNAcentral. Lineage: Eukaryota; Bigyra; Thraustochytrida; Thraustochytriidae.